Molecule: ribosomal RNA, 163 nt
Filed under: Tagetes filifolia
Lineage: Eukaryota; Viridiplantae; Streptophyta; Magnoliopsida; Asterales; Asteraceae
Description: 5.8S ribosomal RNA
Rfam family: 5.8S ribosomal RNA
About the family: 5.8S ribosomal RNA (5.8S rRNA) is a component of the large subunit of the eukaryotic ribosome.
Source: RNAcentral
AACGACUCUCGGCAACGGAUAUCUCGGCUCACGCAUCGAUGAAGAACGUAGCAAAAUGCGAUACUUGGUGUGAAUUGCAGAAUCCCGUGAACCAUCGAGUUUUUGAACGCAAGUUGCGCCCGAAGCCAUUUGGUUGAGGGCACGUCUGCCUGGGCGUCACGCA